AUUGAACGCUGGCGGCAGGCCUAACACAUGCAAGUCGAGCGGAUGAAGGGAGCUUGCUCCUGGAUUCAGCGGCGGACGGGUGAGUAAUGCCUAGGAAUCUGCCUGGUAGUGGGGGAUAACGUCCGGAAACGGGCGCUAAUACCGCAUACGUCCUGAGGGAGAAAGUGGGGGAUCUUCGGACCUCACGCUAUCAGAUGAGCCUAGGUCGGAUUAGCUAGUUGGUGGGGUAAAGGCCUACCAAGGCGACGAUCCGUAACUGGUCUGAGAGGAUGAUCAGUCACACUGGAACUGAGACACGGUCCAGACUCCUACGGGAGGCAGCAGUGGGGAAUAUUGGACAAUGGACGAAAGCCUGAUCCAGCCAUGCCGCGUGUGUGAAGAAGGUCUUCGGAUUGUAAAGCACUUUAAGUUGGGAGGAAGGGCGGUAAGUUAAUACCUUGCUGUUUUGACGUUACCAACAGAAUAAGCACCGGCUAACUUCGUG
This 484-nucleotide ribosomal RNA is filed under the name uncultured bacterium. Its description in RNAcentral is "partial 16S ribosomal RNA". It matches the Rfam family "Bacterial small subunit ribosomal RNA", at positions 30 to 507 of the family's 1533-position model. The record is from RNAcentral.